Molecule: long non-coding RNA, 1235 nt
Filed under: Urocitellus parryii (Arctic ground squirrel)
Lineage: Eukaryota; Metazoa; Chordata; Mammalia; Rodentia; Sciuridae
Description: lncRNA (ENSUPAG00010007057.1)
Rfam family: Small nucleolar RNA SNORD107 (bases 607-680)
Source: RNAcentral
CAGUGGUUGAGUGCCCUUGAAUUCAAUCCCUGGCACCUUCCACCACCCCCCAAAAAGAAAACAAUACACUGUUGUUAGUAUGUUAACCUCAACUAUUAUCUUUAUUGAAUUUCAACAAGCAGUAGGUUAUAGCCAUUACUGAUAUAAUGGGCGAAAAUUUAAAGUGCUUAUUAUCUAUUUGAUCUUACUGUCUUACUCAUAAUUGCAUAUUAGUUCCCUUGGUCCUGUUUGUACACAUAAUCUCAGUAUGUGAAUAUUCUGAAAUAAAGCAAGGCAUAUUAUCAUGAUUAUUUAAUUUUUUGUGGUAGGAGAAUGAAAUCUGAGUCUCAUGGGUUAUUUGUAUGUUGAAACUUUUUCAGGCUUUUAUGAUAUCCUUUUGUCAACUUAGUUGAUAACUGAAGGGAAGAGAGGAUUUGGCUACUGAAUUUUGGGAAGAAUUUGGUCACUGAAUUUCAUGGUGUGUCAUCAGUGUGGAUCCUAUUCAGUGAUUGGAUCUGAAAUUGACACUGAAAACCACAUUAGCUGCACUUAAGACAGAAACAUAAACCCUUCAAGGUAAUAUAACCUUAUCAGUAGAAAUAAGAGUAUAUUGUGAGGCCUUGACUAGGUUCAUGAUGACACAGGACCUUGUCUGAAUAUGAUGAUUUCAAAAUUUGAGCUUAAAUUGACACUCUGAAAUCUAGUCAGUGUGCCUCACUAGACUUUACAGAGCACAUUAUUCUUGAAAAAGAUCUUGGCUUUUUGUAAAAACUUAGAACAUAUAGAUAUGCCUUUUCUAGUAUAGAACUUUGCCAUUUCUUCAAAUGUCUUUUAUUUUCAUUGAUAUUCUGAGGUAAUUCUUUUUUUCUGAACUUUGUAUGUUGUUGAAAGCUAAAAGGAAACAUCUUGGAUUACAGAAGAUAGCAGGCACCUGGUGAGAUGGAAGUAAGGAUGUGUACAAAUGAAACUAUCAACUAUUGAAAACAAAGAGUACUAAAGUCCUAGGGUUCUAAAUGAUGUCCAGGAAUGAAAGAAUAAUAUUUGUCGAGCAUAUAUUGUGGAUCACAAUGAUAGUUUCAAGAAAGAAUACUUCUGUCAUCCUUGGUUUUAAUCCUGUGAAUGAUAUGUACUAGCAAUGAAAGAUCUGUUGGAGUAAUUUAAUUCAUGUGUUCUUCACUCCUAUCUCUCACUUGGCGGUAUGACUAUAAGGGCCACUGACUGCCCAUUUGAUGGGGAAUGGGGUGCUUUAGUGAUAU